Molecule: long non-coding RNA, 423 nt
Organism: Vombatus ursinus (common wombat)
Lineage: Eukaryota; Metazoa; Chordata; Mammalia; Diprotodontia; Vombatidae
Exons: 3
Source: RefSeq, a predicted model, not a curated record
UCGUCACUUCCUGCCGGAAGAUAUCAGUGGACAGGAAGCAUUUCAUUAGAGCCGCGGCCUGUUGCGCCUGGCUGCCGGAGUGGGAGACAGCGCGGAUGGAGUAGCCUCGGAGGAGCCUCAGGACCCCUCGAGGUCUGGGACCCCACGCCUGGUGACUCUCCGUGGGUUCUGAGGCUGGGAAGACCACGCACGAGCUCUACCUUCGGUGGCCUCUGCUGUGCCCCAGGAGGACAGCCUGGAGGAAGAGGGAAUGGCUCCUGCCCUGACAGCCAGGCCCAGGAAGGAAACACAUUCAAGAAUGAGAGAUAUACACAGAGUGAAAAUGGAGGCUUGGAGUAGAAUUUGUCACGCUUCAGCUGCUACCAAAAAGGUAGGGGUAGCAAUUAUGAUCUCAAAGUUAUGGCUAAAAUAGAUUUUAAUAAA